RNAcentral lists this ribosomal RNA (492 nucleotides) under uncultured bacterium. RNAcentral describes it as "partial 16S ribosomal RNA". It matches the Rfam family "Bacterial small subunit ribosomal RNA", at positions 29 to 507 of the family's 1533-position model. The record is from RNAcentral.
AGUGAGCGCUGGCGGUAGGCCUAACACAUGCAAGCCGAACGGCAGCACAGUAAGAGCUUGCUCUUACGGGUGGCGAGUGGCGGACGGGUGAGGAAUACAUCGGAAUCUACUUUUUCGUGGGGGAUAACGUAGGGAAACUUACGCUAAUACCGCAUACGACCUACGGGUGAAAGCAGGGGAUCUUCGGACCUUGCGCGAUUGAAUGAGCCGAUGUCGGAUUAGCUAGUUGGCGGGGUAAAGGCCCACCAAGGCGACGAUCCGUAGCUGGUCUGAGAGGAUGAUCAGCCACACUGGAACUGAGACACGGUCCAGACUCCUACGGGAGGCAGCAGUGGGGAAUAUUGGACAAUGGGCGCAAGCCUGAUCCAGCCAUACCGCGUGGGUGAAGAAGGCCUUCGGGUUGUAAAGCCCUUUUGUUGGGAAAGAAAAGCAGCAGGUUAAUACCCCGCUGUUCUGACGGUACCCAAAGAAUAAGCACCGGCUAACUUCGUG